GUUUCAAGUAAAAUGGGACCAGACAACUCAGAAACAUUGAGCCAAGACCAAGAUCUUUGUUGUCUCGCUUGUCUUUCUUUAAAGGCAUGCCCAAUGUCAAGCUCUUCGACAGCAAGCUUAGGAACCUUCAUAAUAGACAGGUUACAUCUAUUAACAGAGGUGAUGAUCAUUCAUUUGAACCUUCAUCUUGCAAAAAGUGAUGUUUAUAACACUUAUGUAAAAAGCAACAUCUCAAUUAAGUGGUUCUGGAAACAAAUAUAGCAUGUCGGAUGCCUUACCAUUGUAGUAUUAUGAACUGGCGGGCCAAGUGAUAGAGAACACAAAGCUGCAACAGCAAGAGCAUUUUUCUGCUCCCUAUGAAA
Long non-coding RNA from Panicum virgatum (switchgrass), 362 nucleotides. RefSeq lists it as uncharacterized. The record is from RefSeq and is a predicted model, not a curated record. Lineage: Eukaryota; Viridiplantae; Streptophyta; Magnoliopsida; Poales; Poaceae. The transcript is spliced from 2 exons.